Molecule: transfer RNA, 85 nt
Filed under: Felis catus (domestic cat)
Lineage: Eukaryota; Metazoa; Chordata; Mammalia; Carnivora; Felidae
Rfam family: tRNA
About the family: Transfer RNA (tRNA) molecules are approximately 80 nucleotides in length. Their secondary structure includes four short double-helical elements and three loops (D, anti-codon, and T loops). Further hydrogen bonds mediate the characteristic L-shaped molecular structure. tRNAs have two regions of fundamental functional importance: the anti-codon, which is responsible for specific mRNA codon recognition, and the 3' end, to which the tRNAs corresponding amino acid is attached (by aminoacyl-tRNA synthetases). tRNAs cope with the degeneracy of the genetic code in two manners: having more than one tRNA (with a specific anti-codon) for a particular amino acid; and 'wobble' base-pairing, i.e. permitting non-standard base-pairing at the 3rd anti-codon position.
Source: Rfam by way of RNAcentral
GCCCGGGUGGCUCAGUCGGUUGAGCAUCUGACUUUGGCUCAGGUCAUGAUCUCUUGGUUUGUGAGUUUGAGCCCCACAUCAGGCU